UGCAAGUCGGGCGGUAACACAGAGGAGCUUGCUCCUUGGGUGACGAGCGGCGGACGGGUGAGUAAAGUCUGGGGAUCUGCCUGAUGGAGGGGGAUAACUACUGGAAACGGUAGCUAAUACCGCAUGACGUCUUCGGACCAAAGUGGGGGACCUUCGGGCCUCACGCCAUGAGAUGAACCCAGAUGGGAUUAGCUGGUAGGUGAGGUAACGGCUCACCUAGGCGACGAUCCCUAGCUGGUCUGAGAGGAUGACCAGCCACACUGGAACUGAGACACGGUCCAGACUCCUACGGGAGGCAGCAGUGGGGAAUAUUGCACAAUGGGGGAAACCCUGAUGCAGCCAUGCCGCGUGUGUGAAGAAGGCCUUCGGGUUGUAAAGCACUUUCAGCGGGGAGGAAGGCAAUAAACUUAAUAAGUUUGUUGAUUGACGUUACCCGCAGAAGAAGCACCGGCUAACUCCGUGCCAGCAGCCGCGGUAAUACGGAGGGUGCAAGCGUUAAUCGGAAUGACUGGGCGUAAAGCGCACGCAGGCGGUCUGUUAAGUUGGAUGUGAAAUCCCCGGGCUCAACCCGGGAACAGCAUUCAAAACUGACAGGCUAGAGUCUCGUAGAGGGGGGUAGAAUUCCAGGUGUAGCGGUGAAAUGCGUAGAGAUCUGGAGGAAUACCGGUGGCGAAGGCGGCCCCCUGGACGAAGACUGACGCUCAGGUGCGAAAGCGUGGGGAGCAAACAGGAUUAGAUACCCUGGUAGUCCACGCCGUAAACGAUGUCGACUUGGAGGCUGUGGUCUUGAACCGUGGCUUCCGGAGCUAACGCGUUAAGUCGACCGCCUGGGGAGUACGGCCGCAAGGUUAAAACUCAAAUGAAUUGACGGGGGCCCGCACAAGCGGUGGAGCAUGUGGUUUAAUUCGAUGCAACGCGAAGAACCUUACCUACUCUUGACAUCCAGAGAAGACUGUAGAGAUACGGUUGUGCCUUCGGGAGCUCUGAGACAGGUGCUGCAUGGCUGUCGUCAGCUCGUGUUGUGAAAUGUUGGGUUAAGUCCCGCAACGAGCGCAACCCUUAUCCUUUGUUGCCAGCGAUACGGUCGGGAACUCAAAGGAGACUGCCGGUGAUAAACCGGAGGAAGGUGGGGAUGACGUCAAGUCAUCAUGGCCCUUACGAGUAGGGCUACACACGUGCUACAAUGGCGCAUACAAAGAGAAGCGAGCCUGCGAGGGUGAGCGGACCUCAUAAAGUGCGUCGUAGUCCGGAUUGGAGUCUGCAACUCGACUCCAUGAAGUCGGAAUCGCUAGUAAUCGUAGAUCAGAAUGCUACGGUGAAUACGUUCCCGGGCCUUGUACACACCGCCCGUCACACCAUGGGAGUGGGUUGCAAAAGAAGUAGGUAGCUUAAC
RNAcentral lists this ribosomal RNA (1393 nucleotides) under Brenneria salicis. RNAcentral describes it as "bacterial SSU rRNA". It matches the Rfam family "Bacterial small subunit ribosomal RNA". The record is from RNAcentral. Lineage: Bacteria; Pseudomonadati; Pseudomonadota; Gammaproteobacteria; Enterobacterales; Pectobacteriaceae.